GGCGAAUCCACGGACUCAGAGUGGUCCCCGCCAGCCUCUGCAGACACUGAACUGUGGCCACCCUUCCUUCUUGAGGCUGUCUUCCCGUUGAUGUUUAUUGCUCCGUAUUUCCAGAGUUCUCUUGACUUUGUCUCCCGCUAGUUUCUUCUGCCUGCUUGACAGGGAUUCACAGCCUGGAGGCAGGCACAGCUCAUCUCCUUUUGUGGAUUCGGGUUGCCUCCUAACAGAUCUCAGCCGCCCACGCUUACCUCCAUCCAGUAUUCAGUUCACUCUGCAGCUGGGGUCAUCUAUUCCAGAGAGAAGCGUCACACUCAACCAGACCACAGCUUCCCAUCAGUUCAGUUCAGUUCAGUCAUUCAGUCAUGUCGGACUCUUUGUGACC
Molecule: long non-coding RNA, 382 nt
Filed under: Capra hircus (goat)
Lineage: Eukaryota; Metazoa; Chordata; Mammalia; Artiodactyla; Bovidae
Description: lncRNA (ENSCHIG00010013182.1)
Source: RNAcentral